UACAGAGGUCUCAACCGUUGUUCGGAUUCAUUGGGCGUAAAGGGUGCGUAGGCGGUCGUGCAAGUCGGAUGUGAAAUCUCAGGGCUCAACCCUGAAACUGCAUCGAUACUGCGCGGCUAGAGUGCUGGAGGGGAGACUGGAAUUUACGGUGUAGCAGUGAAAUGCGUAGAUAUCGGGAGGAACACCAGUGGCGAAGGCGGCGAUCUGGGUCGAUACUGACGCUGAGGUGCGAAAGCGUGGGGAGCAAACAGG
This 252-nucleotide ribosomal RNA is filed under the name uncultured bacterium. Its description in RNAcentral is "partial 16S ribosomal RNA". It matches the Rfam family "Bacterial small subunit ribosomal RNA", at positions 524 to 776 of the family's 1533-position model. The record is from RNAcentral.